Molecule: long non-coding RNA, 301 nt
Filed under: Elaeis guineensis (African oil palm)
Lineage: Eukaryota; Viridiplantae; Streptophyta; Magnoliopsida; Arecales; Arecaceae
Description: long non-coding RNA (EGUI_LNC044557)
Source: RNAcentral
CUUUCUUUCUUUCUUUCUCUCUAUAUGUAUAAUAUUCAUAUCUGCCCCUCAUAAGGGAAAAGGCACACCCUUUUCUGUUUCCCAUGAUAGGAGGAGAAAUGAUAGGUGUAUCCUCCUGAUAAAGGAUCCACUAAUACUACUAUUCAAAUGAGAGGAGAGGGAUGGGUUUCCAUAAUAGGAAUCACACCUUUCCCACAGAAAAGAUGAUGACCCAGCCAUUCUACCCGUAUGAUGGCUGUGGUGGUGCUGGGCUUUUCAAGCACCAUCUGUAUCCAUUCUCGAUCCCCCUCGCUCCCACUCU